Non-coding RNA from Stegodyphus mimosarum, 73 nucleotides. The record is from Rfam. NCBI's taxonomy places the organism in Eukaryota, Metazoa, Arthropoda, Arachnida, Araneae, Eresidae.
GCCUUCAUAGUGUAAUGGUCAGAGCACUCGCCGCGUAUUCGAGAGGUCCGAGGUUCGAAUCCCGGCGAGGGUA